CUUGAAUUUUAAGAGUCAAUAUAUAGGAUGAACGGAUCAUAUAAACCGGAGGGAAAAUAUGAUACAUGCCCAAACAAAAAAUAUAAACGAGUCUAAAUUGAAAACUACGUUCAAACCUAUGACUGCGUUGGAUAAAAACCGCAGUUUUUAUACGUGUGCAUGUCAAACAAAUUUCGUUGUAGAAGGGUCUAAAAACAGCAC
This 201-nucleotide long non-coding RNA is filed under the name Mytilus galloprovincialis (Mediterranean mussel). The record is from RNAcentral. Lineage: Eukaryota; Metazoa; Mollusca; Bivalvia; Mytilida; Mytilidae.